UAAUACGUAGGGGGCGAGCGUUGUUCGGAAUGACUGGGCGUAAAGGGCGCGUAGGCGGCCGAUCAAGUUGGGAGUGAAAUUCCUGCUUUCAAGGUGGGAACUGCUUUCAAAACUGGUUGGCUUGAGUGCGGAAGAGGUAAGUGGAAUUCCCAGUGUAGCGGUGAAAUGCGUAGAGAUUGGGAGGAACACCAGUGGCGAAGGCGACUUACUGGGCCGUAACUGACGCUGAGGCGCGAAAGCGUGGGGAGCAAACAGG
This 256-nucleotide ribosomal RNA is filed under the name uncultured bacterium. Its description in RNAcentral is "partial 16S ribosomal RNA". It matches the Rfam family "Bacterial small subunit ribosomal RNA", at positions 521 to 776 of the family's 1533-position model. The record is from RNAcentral.